AUUGAUGAGCAUGAUUUCAACACCAAGCUUCGUAACGCUCGUAAGUUCCUUGAAAAAGGAGACAAAGUUAAAGCGUCAAUCCGAUUUAAAGGUCGUGCGAUUACGCACAAAGAAAUUGGUCAACGUGUUCUGGAUCGCUUCAGUGAUGAGUGUAAAGAUGUAGCAACCGUUGAAUCAAAACCGAAAAUGGAUGGUCGCAGUAUGUUCUUGGUGCUUGCACCAGUCAACGAAAAAUAAAGGACCCGAGGAGGAAAAGCAUCAUGCCAAAAAUGAAAACUCACCGCGGCUCAGCUAAGCGUUUCAAGAAAACAGGUUCUGGUAAACUUAAACGUUCA
This 335-nucleotide unclassified non-coding RNA is filed under the name Bacillus sp. V-88. Its description in RNAcentral is "Long range pseudoknot". The record is from RNAcentral. Lineage: Bacteria; Bacillati; Bacillota; Bacilli; Caryophanales; Bacillaceae.